RNAcentral lists this non-coding RNA (866 nucleotides) under Boana picturata (Imbabura treefrog). Its description in RNAcentral is "partial 12S ribosomal RNA". It matches the Rfam family "Bacterial small subunit ribosomal RNA". The record is from RNAcentral. Lineage: Eukaryota; Metazoa; Chordata; Amphibia; Anura; Hylidae.
UUUUUACUUAACUUAUACAUGCAAGUCUCCGCACCCCUGUGAAAACGCCCUUAAACCCCUAACAGGGGUAAGGAGCCGGUAUCAGGCACAACUAUUAGCCCAAGACACCUAGCCAUGCCACACCCACAAGGGCACUCAGCAGUAAUUAACAUUGAACAUAAGCGCCAGCUUGAUUCAGUUAAAGUAAAAAGGGCAGGCAAAUGUGGUGCCAGCCGCCGCGGUUACACCAUGAGGCCCAAAUUGACUUCUUUCGGCGUAAAGAGUGAUUAAAGGAACACUUAAACUGUAGUUAAAUUAUUAUUAAGUAGUGAUAAGCUUAUAUAUAAGAAACCCAAAAACGAAAGUUACUACACCUAAAUCAACUUGAAUUCACAAUAGCUAUGACACAAACUAGGAUUAGAUACCCUACUAUGCUUAGCCCCAAACUCUUAAUUACACCCUAAACGCCCGGGAACUACGAGCAAAGCUUAAAACCCAAAGGACUUGACGGUGCCCCACAUCCCCCUAGAGGAGCCUGUCCUAUAAUCGAUAACCCCCGUUUUACCUCACCAUUUUUAGCAAGAUCAGUCUGUAUACCUCCGUCGUCAGCUUACCACCUGAGUGCUCUAUAGUAAGUCUAAUGUCCUUUACACUCGUCAAUACGUCAGGUCAAGGUGCAACUAAUAAAAUGGAAAGAGAUGGGCUACACUCUCUAAUAUAGAAUAUACAGAAAACAACAUGAAAACUAGUUUAAAGGUGGAUUUAGUAGUAAAAAAAGAUCAGAGAGCUUUUUUUAACAAGGCCCUGGGGCGUGUACACACCGCCCGUCACCCUCUUCGCAAACAUAUAAUAGUAUUUUACUCAAUACAGCAAAGUAGAAGAGGUAA